This 26-nucleotide non-coding RNA is filed under the name Cricetulus griseus (Chinese hamster). The record is from RNAcentral. Lineage: Eukaryota; Metazoa; Chordata; Mammalia; Rodentia; Cricetidae.
ACCAAAGGGACCUGAAGAGAAGAAGG